CUCAAAACAAUUUUGAGAAAUUUGCAUGGCUUGUUAUUAAUCGCAUUAUAUGUAAUAAUUAACGAUUCCUCCUUUUAGAUACACCAUCUUGCUGCAGUGUAUAUGAAGGAGUCCACUGCAAGAGAAUCUCAUUCUCUCUUAGAUAAUCUAAAUUUCAUCUUUAAGAUACUCUCACUUGAUCGAAUCUUAAUGUGUGAGUAUCUUUACCUAUUUGUUU
This 217-nucleotide long non-coding RNA is filed under the name Olea europaea subsp. europaea. Lineage: Eukaryota; Viridiplantae; Streptophyta; Magnoliopsida; Lamiales; Oleaceae. The record is from RNAcentral.